AUUCAAUUCAGCAACUUCCCUUUGCUCUUUGAAACCUGCUUCCCCUAGGGAACCGCUUGUGUGACUGAGGGAAAUAGAAGAGAAAGGUAGAGUGGAAAUUGAUUUCUUGCGGAGACUGAGGCGCCGAAUGAUAGAGGGAAUAAACAGUUGCUCUCGAUAAAAAUGUUCUUGGCUGUACUCCAGCCCUUAUGAUGUCCUAGACCAGAAGCUUUUCUUCAAUUAUCUCAGUUCACCAAAAGGAUGAUUUCCAUAAAUUUCUGUGUUUUACAUGGGCUGACAGGUGUUGUUAGGAGCAUCUGAGGUCCACAUAAAGAGGAUGAAUAUUCUACACUACAUUCAUUCCAAAUACAACCUUAACAGUUGUAAUAGACAGAAAGCUUAUUUUUCAUAUAAGAUUUCAAUGUGCUGCCUAAACAUAUUUACCUAUCUGUUAUUUGAAAAAAUACAGUUAUUUGUUGAGGACUCAAGUUGAUUUACAUUAGAAAAUGUGACAUUCGAAUUUUUACUUUUAUGUGAAAUAAAUGUGAGGUUGUUUUUCUUUUAAAUAUUUGUAGAAGAAAAUUUCAGAAUUAAAUAUAUUAAUUUUGCAUUCCUGAACUUUAAAAUAGUUUACAGCACUUAAAGUUUACAAAACAAUGUAAGUAUUUGAGUAUUAUAUUAAAUUGUAUGAUUACAUUUGAUCAAUUCUCAAACUAGAGCCAUAGGCUUUUUAUCUCCUACUUGGCAUUUAUUUUAAUUUGCCUAGUUUGUUCUUAGAACUACCUCAAAAGUUGUUUUUUGUUGUUGUUGUUGUUUUUUAAUUUUGUGUAUGUCCUUUCCUGGAUAAUUUAAUUGCACAUCUGCAGUAUUUUAGCACAAUUUGUAUUACUGGUAAUGUUUUUUUGUUUGCUAUCUUGGCUCCUUCUUCUUUAAGUAUAUGGAUGCCAUCUAACAUUUCUUACCUAUUAGUCCACUAAAAUUUCUAAUCUAAAAGUAACAUUUAAGACAUACUGUAUUAGGCAAAUUGUGAAGCAAUUUGUUUAUGAAACAAAAUGUCAAUAACCUUCAGAUAAUUUUAACCUUAAAUCAGAUUUAUAACAAAAAUGUGUUAUAGUAAGUAAACUCAAACUUUCCUUGUAUACAAAAGUCAUAAAAACAUAUACAUUUAUGCAUAUGUAAUUACCCUCCUUAUAUUUAAAUUUACUCAUUUUAAACUUUGCUAUUUGUUUUAUUUUAGAGCUAAAGUGUCAAAAGUUUUAUAAAUACCUAAGUGUGCAAGCAUCUUCAUGUCUUACUUCAUAAGAUCAAUAAAAUAUUAGAUAAACAACUAAUAUAUUCAAAUCUUACAAAAAGUACAGAAGUCCCUCCUUAUCCAUAGGGUACAUGUUCCAAAACCCCCAGUGGAUUCCUGAGACUAUGGAUAGUACAAACUCUACAUAGACUGUGUUUUUCCUAUACAAACAUACUUACAAUAAAAGUUUAAUUUCUAAAUUAGAUACUGUAAGAGAUUAGCAAUAACUAAGAAUAAAAUAGAAUAAUUAUAAUAUACUGUAAUAAAAGUUAUGUAAAUGUGGUCUCUCAAACACUCUUAUUGUCACCCUUCUUGUGAUUAUACGAGAUGAUAAAAUGCCUUGUUGAUAAAAUGAAGUGAGAUGGACAUAGACAUUGCGACAUCAUCAGGCUGCUGUUGAUCUUCUGAAAACACAUCAGAAGGAGGAUCAUCUGCUUUCAGAGCACGGGGUUGGUCGCCAGUAACUGACACCAUGUAAAGUGAAACCAGGGAUAAAGGGAGACUACUGUAUGUUGGAACUUGAAGGAACUUCAGAGAUCAUUUAGUCUAACUCCUCCAUUAUGGUGAAGAAAUUGAGAACUGGGGAGACUGUGAUUAAUGUAGUUAUACACUAACAAUUCAAAGAACUUUAAAUGUAGUUUUCCUAAUUUCUUCAUUGGUAUUAAUUCUAAACCAAUUAAAUGCUAUUCCUAGCUUCUAAAACAGGUAUUGCUUGAGGCUGGGACAGGGAAUACAUGAAAGAAAGAGAAAGUGGUACAAAGAUGAAUUACUCAUAGGGUUCUUGGAGUUUAUUUUGUUGAUAAAAUACUCUUCACUGUAGAAUGUCUUUAUUUCCCUGCCUUGGUUUACCCUCCUCCGCCACCCCACUCCCACCCUCUGUGAUAAGGGAAUAUUUCAUGAUGUGAUUUUACUUUGUCACAUAAGAUUCUCAGUGUUCUUUGGGUAUACGCAUUGGUUUGUUCUGCAGAUUAUUUUAAACUGUAGAUAAUUUAAAGCCUCUGCAAUAUCACACUCUUUCAUGUCACAUCUGCAUUCUACUUUUUUAAGUGUCUACCAACAUAACAAAUAAAAUUGUAUCAAGAAAAAAGCCAUCAUCUCAAAGUAAGGUUUUAAUUAGACUGUGACUUACAUUUGACAUCACACACACACAAACACACACAAACACACGCACACACUAUGAAAAAAAAACAGAUUGAGAUAAUGCAUUGUGAUAGACAUGUUCUUGGUAAGUUAUCUUAUUUUGCAAACAUGCAAAAAAAUUCCAUGUUGCUUUAAAAAAUGGCUUUCUUAAUUAGGAGAAAAGCUGUAAGACUUCAGCCAUUUUCUGGAAAAUCGACUUCGUUCUUUCAUAUACAUCAGUUUUGAGUAUUAUGUGCAAGCUAUUGUUUUCGGAAAUGGCAAGUCUGAAAGACAAACAUCAACACUGCAAUCUAUUGCCAGUUACCAUUACUUCAAAGAGGUUAUCAUUCCUGGAUUAAACAAGACAAGAAUAGAAUAAAAUCUAAACACAUUUUAAAAUGCUUACAAUGUGCACUUAUAAAAUAGAAAUUUUGCACUAAUCUAAAAUAUUGCAAAAGAGGGAACACAUAUGAGAAAAAAUUUAUAUUGAUUAAUUUAUGCUUUAAUGGUUGAAAAUAAAAUGCACCCUUAUUUCAAAACACAUUUGUUGAUGAAUAAAAUGUCUAAUUUUAAAGGGAAAAAUAAGUAGACUCAUAGAAUUAUUUUAAAAGCCUCCUGUCGGCCUAUUUCUUUCAAUAGAUCAUCUUAAUAUCAAUCGUGUGAUUUAGUUAUAAACAGCUCAUAUAUGAAGUAAUAGUUUCAAAGAGCCUAAUUAAUUUGCCAAAAGUCGCAAACAAAGUAGAUUCAGAAUUGGAAAAAGUUUUAUGGCUCCAAAGUCAGGGUGAAUUUCCUUGUAUCUUCUAGUACAUAAAGUUCUGGGAUAAUAAAAGUAUUCCGGAAGCAUGUGUUAAGCAGCAUUUGUAUUGCUGUAUGUGUUCUUGUGUGAUUGAUAAUGUCUUCACAUGUAUGUUUAGAGCCUAGCCUAUUUCAAAGCACUAUCAGUUCUACGAUUGUGUUUUUUCAUGUUCAUUUUCUCCACUCCCUCACUGCGUAUCUCUACCACAUAGGACAGAACACUGUCAAAGAAGAAGCUCAGUAAGUAUGAAUUUAAUUGAUGAGAUUAAGUACUUCACCAAACUUUCCUUCUUUAACAUUCUGUGCUUGCUGUACCUAAUUCUUAGGGAACAUUCAGAAAUAUUUUUACUAAAUGACAAUAUUCCUCAAAAUACUUUCAGAAUAUUUGACAUAUAUUUGGCCUAAUAAGCCAUGUUAAAAAUGACAACACUUCACCAAAUAAUGUGACUUUGUAUUUUAAUACAUACCUUCCUACCCACCAUACUAAUUUAAUUCUCUCAUUAUACUGCAAAUUAAACCAUUGUGUUUACUUGAAAUGAAAGAAAUAUGGUAUGAAGAAAUUGAAGCACUGUUUUUCAUUACUAAAAGAAAUAAUUGAGUUCUUUUUAUUCACCACAUUCUAUUUCUUAAUUUGUUACACGGAAGAAGUAAUAUAAUGGAAAUAUCAAAUUAUUUGUUAAUUUUAUUAAAUUAUGUGGGUGAAAAUUCAUCUGUCAACAUUUGCAAGUAAAAUAUAAUAAUAAAAGAGUGAAAUGUUUCUAACAUUAUGAACUGAAUUAUAAAACUAUCAGUUUGUAUGACAUUUUGCUAUUCAGAAUUCUCAGAAUUAAGAUUUUUUUCAAUAUUAUCAAAACUGGUUAUUUCCUAAAUUAUUUGUACUACCAAAAUCUAUUCCUCAGUGUAAUGACCAAAAUGUAUUCAUUGGCUUAAUGGUUGUAUGAAUUAAUGUGUUAUCAAUUGGCAUGUAUAAACUUGUACAGUUUUUAAACUAACUUACAAAAAUAACAAUAUUGAAAACACUCAAGGAAAUGAUCUGAUACAACUUCCUUACAAUCCUUCUUAGUAUCUGGAUUUCAAUGACUACUGAAGUGUAGUAGAACAAUAGCUCCCCAAAUGCUCACAUUCCAGUUCUCAGAAUGUGUGACUAGGUUACCAUGUAAGCAAAAGAAAGUUUGCAAAUUUUAUUACUUUAAGGACUUUUGACAAACAGAGAGUAGCCUGGAUUCGCUCUAUCUGCCUCAUGUCAUCACGAAGUAUCUCUGCAAAGGAAGACAGAGAGAGAAGAGUCAGGAAAGGAGAUGGGACGACAGAAACGGAUGGAGUGACGGGGAGCCACUAGCCAAAGAAUGCAGACAGGACGCCCUGUAAAAACCGGAAAAGGGAAGGACGCAGAUUCUUCCUUAGAGCUUCCAAAAUAAAUGAAGCCUGGCUACCCAUUUUAGAUUUCUGACAUCUGAAUCUGUAAAUUGAUAAAUUUGUGUUUUAAGAUAUGAUCUAUUUGUGAUAUUUUGAUAACAGCAGCAAUAGGAAAUUAAUAGAGCCAGCAAUGCAAAGAGUUGAAAAAUAAGUAGUAUGUUCUUUUCUCUCUAGAGACUUUAUGAUUUCACAGCAAACACUUGCUUCAAGGCCACUCCAUUCCUCUUGGUGCUGAAAAAACCACUGUCUUUUAUCAUGAGGAAACUUGAUUUCAUCAAGAGUCAUGUUGGUUCUUCUAGCUUGAUUGUAUAGCACAUGGAUAGGGCCAGCAUGUGAAGGAGGAGACGUAACAAUUUCCAGAAAUAAACUAGUAAUUUAAAGACUUAUUACAUACCUUUAUUCAUUUGGAAUAUACCAUUUACCAGAGACCUACACAUAUUAGCACCAAGUACAUAACUAAUUAGGUUAUAGCAAAUCUUGAUACAGAUGUAAGAAAGUGAGUAAUAACCAUUCCAUUUGAACAGUCUAUGACAAACAUAUGCUUGAAGAAAAAACAUUAAGCACAAGAUUAACUGUAGAAGACAAUGGAAAUUAGCAAAAUAUUAAAAUAAAUGUGAGAUCUAAAAUGAGACCACAGAGAAUGACUGACAGUGGGGGGAUUUUGAUUUUCAUGGAAAGAUUGACAGAAAGCACUCUGAUGGUUUUCUCCUUUCCUUUUUCACAGUAUUGCAAUCAAGAAAAGGAACUGAAUAUUUACUUAAUUAGGAUGCAUCAUUAAUUCUAGUGUCUCAUGAACUCC
Manis javanica (Malayan pangolin) is the source of this 5399-nucleotide non-coding RNA. The record is from RefSeq and is a predicted model, not a curated record. NCBI's taxonomy places the organism in Eukaryota, Metazoa, Chordata, Mammalia, Pholidota, Manidae.